Molecule: long non-coding RNA, 3267 nt
Organism: Ruditapes philippinarum (Manila clam)
Lineage: Eukaryota; Metazoa; Mollusca; Bivalvia; Venerida; Veneridae
Exons: 3
Source: RefSeq, a predicted model, not a curated record
UUAGUUGGGACGUAGUCCCAACUAGUGCACUUACAAACCCGAAAUUUCCAACCAUACAGGGUAACGCCCACUGCUGUGACGUUUCAUCGCCACUCUAUAUGCUAUAUUGUAUUCUAACAUAUCAAUCUAAGCUGAAUUCAUAGUGAUCACCCGACCAUGACCGACGCAUAACCGCCGCGAGUGAAAAAUAGUGCUCUGAAUUUCUGAAAACUUCGAUUUAUUGCGAACAGAAGAGGAGACAAGAAAUUUAUUUUUUGAAAAUAAUGUGCAAUUGAGCUUGAAUUACGGUAUUAGAAACGUAGCGGAUAUAAUUUGAAAGGUCACAUAAUUCUAUGAAUGGGAUAGUAAAUUAAUUGGGUCAUAGUGCUUGACGGCUUGCAAUAUUUAACUUACUCAUCCGCCUUAUCAUCACAUUUUUUUGUAUUAUAUUCCAGAAAUUUUUGAAAAAGACAUUAUUUAUCGGAUAAAUUUUGUAAUUUAUAAUUGCAAAGUGGAUAUUGAAAUAGAAUUAGCCAGAGAUGUAGAUAAUCUAUUCGUCUCUGAAUUAGCCGAUAAUUAGGUUAAAUGAAUCCGACAACUUCCGGUAUAUUUUUUGACCUACUUCACGAGCAUAAUUAUCAGCCUGUUAAGCUCAUAAGGGAAAUAAAAGAUCAUUUACUUUAAUAUUCACUUGGAAAGGCUGGUACAUGUAGCUAGAAAAAAGUACAGUAUAAGAUUAAACAAAGACUAGAAGAUUAUUACAAACAACAGGUGGACAUAUGUCACUGUCAAGCGAAUGAAGAUAAGCAUCACACUCGGUGGGAAUCUCCAGUUUCCAGAUGUAGUGAUCAUAACUGUAUAGGCACCAUUAACACUUUGGACUAGUUGGAGUAUUUUAGAGGGCUAGUCUGAAUUGAAUCCCCUGUCAAUAGUAAAGGCCAGUCAUGAACAUUGUGUUGAAGGAAAAUGUUAAAACUCGGAUUUCCCGCUUAACCAAUCAUUACUUUACCUUAUAUUCAGUGCGGUAAUGUAGGAAAUGGUUACUUUCUGGAACGGAGCUGUCAAUUAUUUUUAAAUUUUUAGCUUGUUAGUGUUAUCGUCGGACAGUUGUGAAGUAAAGACAUCGCAGUUUGACUGUAUACAAGUUGCGUUAAAGAAAGUAUGUCGAAAUCUUAACAGUUAUUUGUUGAUUUUGUAGAAAUUGACCAGAAUUCACCUUUGUUUACACGCAUCGCUUGGACGUCGAAAACGACAUGCAAUGACAUUUCAGUGAAAUUUGGAAACUUGCUCGUAUUUUGGAGCAUUUUGUAGGAUUUCGAUGAAGUAAAAAGUGUUUAUGAUAGGAUACAUUAUUCCUAGAGACAACCACAAAAAUAAAAUAGUGAUCUGGUGUAUUUUUACCGAACAGUUCUUGUUUGUUUUGCAUGAUAUUUUUCUCUCGUUAGGGACCUUUAUUCUUUAUAUAUAGUAUUAUGAGCGUAUAUGGGUAAAUGUGGUAUAUAGUGCCUGUGGUUUUAUCAUGUAUCUUAGCUUGCCUGGUGUAAUGAUAAGUAAUAAACCUGAGAAUUGAAACUAUGAGAAUAAAUUGUUGUUAUAAGUCCCCUUAUAUUUUCAUUAAGAGGGGACUAAAGGCUGACCCAUUUCUGUAUGUCAAUUAAUGAAAGCUGAAUUUCGCUACAACUUAAAUGGUACAAAAGUAACGUUCAUCAUACUGGUUUCUGAUAUAGAACUAUACAGAGAUUUAGCAUGUUAUUAUAAUUUAUGCUCCUGAAAGGGAGAGAAAAUAGUUGCGGUCUUAACCAUCUGUCGGUAUGGACUCAAGUAAUAUUAUGGAUAAAAUAUCUGUGUUCAUUCCAUACAGACUUGUACUUUUGGGGAAAAAGGUUGCUCAUGGGAGGAAAAUAUGUUUUUAAUGGUGUUUUUGAGAUUUUAGUUGAUAAAGGAAAAAAAACAUAGUCUGAACUUAGGAAGACAUUUGUCCUUCACACUCUUGUCCGAAAUAUGAAUAUAACUAGAUAUGUAUUGAAGGGAUUUUAUGUAAACUUCACAAAGUGAUAGAGACUUUUAAGAGGAAGUGCAAUGUUCAAGAAUCAUAGCUCUACCUUGCUUCAUGUUUUAAUUAUAUCCCUUAAGUUAAAAAUACUUAUUCCAAACUAUCACUGAAUCUACAUCAACUUGAACGACUCGAAUUUUCCAAUGUGUCAAAGAACCAUAACUCCAUUCCUUAGUUUUUAGCUCACCUGUCACAAAGUGACAGGUCGAGCUUUUGUGAUCUCUUUUCGUAUGGCCGUAAACUUUUACUUUAAAUGACAUCUCCUCAUAAACCACUAAGCUAAUUUUAUCCAAACUUCACAAGAAUGUUCCUUUAGCUGUCACCUUUAAAAAUUGUGCAAAGAAUUUAAUUCCAUGCUGAACUCUGGUUGCCAUGGAAACCGAAAGAAAAAAAACUUUAAAUAUCAUCUUUAAAAAAAACCUAAGAGCUAGAGCUUAGAUAUUUGGCUUGAAACAUCCUUUAGUGAGUGUCUACCAAGUUUGUUUAAAUAAAAGCCCUGGGGUCAAAAUUGGCCCCGCCCCAGGGGUCAUUGAUUUUCCCUAUGUGCAUAUAAUAAACUUUAUAAAAUCUUCUUUUAAAGAACCCAAAGAGCUAGAGCUAAGAUAUUAAGCAUGAAACAUCAUCUAAUGAGUGUUUACCAAGUUUGUUCAAAUAAAAGGCCCGGGGUCAAAAUUGGUCCUGCCCCAGGGGGUCAUUAAUUUUUUUUAAAUGCAUAUAGUAAAAACUUUAAAAAAUCUUCUUUUAAGGAAGGAGCUAAGAUAUUUUAGCAUGAAAUAUCUUCUAGUGAGUGUUUACAAAGAUUGUUAAAAUAAAAGCCCUGGGGUCAAAAUUGGUCAUGCCCCAGGGGGUCAUUAAUUUUCUUUAAAUGCAAAUAGUAAAAACUUAAAAAAUCUUCUUUUAAAGAACCCAAAGAGCUAGAGCUAAGAUAUUUAGCAUGAACAUCUUCUAAUGAGUGUCUACCAUGUUUGUUCAAAUAAAAGCCCUUGGGUCAAAAUUGGCCCUGCCCAAGGGGAUCAUUGAUUUUCCCUAUAUGCAUAUAGUUAGAACUUCAAAAAUCUUUUUUAAAGAACCCAAAUAGCUAGAGUUUAUAUUAUAAAUUGAAACAUCUUCUAGUGAGUGUCUACAAAGUUUGUUCAAAUAAAAGCCCUGGGGUCAAAACUGGCCCUGCUCCAGGGUUGUCAUUGUUUUUAACAGUAUGUGUUAGUAAAAACUUAAAAAAUCUUCUUUAAAAAAAC